CCUGAUGCAGCGACGCCGCGUGAGGGAUGACGGCCUUCGGGUUGUAAACCUCUGUUAGCAUCGAAGAAGCGAAAGUGACGGUAGGUGCAGAGAAAGCGCCGGCUAACUACGUGCCAGCAGCCGCGGUAAUACGUAGGGCGCGAGCGUUGUCCGGAAUUAUUGGGCGUAAAGAGCUUGUAGGCGGUUGGUCGCGUCUGCUGUGAAAGGCCGGGGCUUAACUCCGGUUUUGCAGUGGGUACGGGCUAACUAGAGUGCAGUAGGGGAGACUGGAAUUCCUGGUGUAGCGGUGGAAUGCACAGAUAUCAGGAGGAACACCGAUGGCGAAGGCAGGUCUCUGGGCUGUAACUGACGCUGAGAAGCGAAAGCAUGGGGAGCGAACAGGAUUAGAUACCCUGGUAGUCCAUGCCGUAAACGUUGGGCACUAGGUGUGGGGGACAUUCCACGUUUUCCGCGCCGUAGCUAACGCAUUAAGUGCCCCGCCUGGGGAGUACGGCCGCAAGGCUAAAACUCAAAGGAAUGGACGGA
This 525-nucleotide ribosomal RNA is filed under the name uncultured Rothia sp. RNAcentral's name for it is "bacterial SSU rRNA". It matches the Rfam family "Bacterial small subunit ribosomal RNA", at positions 382 to 917 of the family's 1533-position model. The record is from RNAcentral. Lineage: Bacteria; Bacillati; Actinomycetota; Actinomycetes; Micrococcales; Micrococcaceae.